Molecule: ribosomal RNA, 495 nt
Filed under: uncultured bacterium
Lineage: Bacteria
Description: partial 16S ribosomal RNA
Rfam family: Bacterial small subunit ribosomal RNA
Source: RNAcentral
ACGAACGCUGGCGGCGUGCCUAAUACAUGCAAGUUGAGCGCUGAAGGUUGGUACUUGUACCAACUGGAUGAGCAGCGAACGGGUGAGUAACGCGUGGGGAAUCUGCCUUUGAGCGGGGGACAACAUUUGGAAACGAAUGCUAAUACCGCAUAAAAACUUUAAACACAAGUUUUAAGUUUGAAAGAUGCAAUUGCAUCACUCAAAGAUGAUCCCGCGUUGUAUUAGCUAGUUGGUGAGGUAAGGCUCACCAAGGCGAUGAUACAUAGCCGACCUGAGAGGGUGAUCGGCCACAUUGGGACUGAGACACGGCCCAAACUCCUACGGGAGGCAGCAGUAGGGAAUCUUCGGCAAUGGACGAAAGUCUGACCGAGCAACGCCGCGUGAGUGAAGAAGGUUUUCGGAUCGUAAAACUCUGUUGGUAGAGAAGAACGCUGGUGAGAGUGGAAAGCUCAUCAAGUGACGGUAACUACCCAGAAAGGGACGGCUAACUACGUG